AUGCUCCUACGGGAGGCAGCAGUGGGGAAUAUUGCACAAUGGGGGAAACCCUGAUGCAGCGAUGCCGCGUGGAGGAAGAAGGUUUCGGAUUGUAAACUCCUUUUAUCAGGGACGAUAAUGACGGUACCUGAAGAAAAAGCUCCGGCUAACUACGUGCCAGCAGCCGCGGUAAUACGUAGGGAGCGAGCGUUGUCCGGAGUUACUGGGUGUAAAGGGAGCGUAGGCGGGACGGCAAGUCAGAUGUGAAAACUGAGGGCUCAACUUUCAGACUGGAUUUGAAACUGCUGUUCUUGAGUGAAGUAGGG
This 305-nucleotide ribosomal RNA is filed under the name uncultured bacterium. Its description in RNAcentral is "bacterial SSU rRNA". It matches the Rfam family "Bacterial small subunit ribosomal RNA", at positions 333 to 656 of the family's 1533-position model. The record is from RNAcentral.